AUGCAGACCGCUAGCCAGAGGACGCCGGGAUUGACCAUGACGGAUCAUGCAUACCCAGUCGUUUUAGACGACUAUCCAGACUUAUCACCAACAGAAGUGUACGCAUGCUACUCUACUUUCUGGCUUGAUAUUCAAAGGCUCUUCCCUCGUCUCGGAGGAGAGAAUUAUAACAACGUGUUGCUACUUGCUAGUGGUUGCCGUCUAAAUCAGUCUGAUUUAGACGGUUCCACAAAGAUGUUCAGACUUCAGCGUCGAUGGGGAGACAAUUUUUCAGUAUCUAGGAAGAAAAUUGAACCUGUUGGACCACUUUCUCUUCGAUUGCACACGUGGAUGGUGAUGUGUCUCUUGCUUGCGACUUAG
Molecule: ribosomal RNA, 360 nt
Filed under: Triticum aestivum (bread wheat)
Lineage: Eukaryota; Viridiplantae; Streptophyta; Magnoliopsida; Poales; Poaceae
Description: partial small subunit ribosomal RNA
Source: RNAcentral